AAAAUUGUAGGUCAGUCAAACGCGAUCUAUCUCUAUCGCUCCCGAACCCACCUCUUCCCCUUCCGAUCUGGUCGCCGCCGAAUCCGGCGUCGCCCCCCACCCCCCACCCCCGCGCUCGGUUCCCGUCCAGAACCUGCCACCUACGACGGAGCGAGGCCGCCGAAGCCGGCGACAAAAGGAUUCGAAGCAGCCGGCCGGAGCUACUUUGACUUCGACGUUGAGGAGGGCGUCGGCCUCAGCUCCUGGCCUCCCAGGGCCCGCCGCCGCUGGGCUCGUACAUGGUCAGGUGCGGGCGACUCGGAGAGGAGCUUUGGCCGUAAGGACUAUACAGCUUAGUUUCUCCUGGGAUCACGUUCUCCGGACGUCGAUUGAGUUUCCGAGCAAAGUCCGGGCCUCCAGGUUUAUCUACACAUCCACGUAAUAAGGCAACUGUGUAACAAUUAUCAAGCCUGGUUGAGAAGAAGAGAAUGCAAAAGAUCAAUUUAUCUUCAUGAGUAGGAAAGUAUUAAUCAAUCUCUAGAUAAAGUAAUGAGAUCAAUUCCUCAGAAUGCAGGCCGAGGCUGCUAGCUUGUACAUGGAUUCCUAGAUGCCGUACUAAUGAAGAAGAUAGCAAGCCGUCGAUUGCUGCAACAGGGCGGCAGGGAAGAUCCGAGUCAGCCGACGGUUGUCAAGGCAACAGUAACCUUCUAAAGGACCUUCCUAUAGUCUCCUGCCAAUGCCGGAUUAGAUCGAGGUCGCGGUGGAUUGGGUGAAUCGCGCGUACCUAGGUAUAGCCUCAUGACGCGAGGAGAACUCGUCACACUCGGCAGCCCCAAGCAGCGGUCCAAAACAUAUUAAAGUUCCAUGGAUCAAGAAGGUAUAGCAAUAGUACUGUCACACCUGUACAACUACUUGGUGGAACAAUUUUCAUUGCAGUUUUGCCAGAACUGAUGCUAAGUCAUGGCAGGUUGUUUCUGGCGGUAGUGUUUUCAUCUGAUAUCAUUGAUAUUUUAUUUACUGAAUAACCUUCCAAGAAUCACAUAAGCAUAUGGUCUUAUCAUGUCAUAGUGCAGCUGAACCUGAGCGUAAUUGCAGGCUAUAGCUCUUUAUUAUCUAUAUAUAUUGAAUGACUGAAUGGUGACACUAUACUCGUCAGUUGUUCACCACGUUGUUUGUUUCAAUAUUCUAU
This 1168-nucleotide ribosomal RNA is filed under the name Triticum aestivum (bread wheat). Its description in RNAcentral is "partial small subunit ribosomal RNA". The record is from RNAcentral. Lineage: Eukaryota; Viridiplantae; Streptophyta; Magnoliopsida; Poales; Poaceae.